This 350-nucleotide ribosomal RNA is filed under the name Lysinibacillus boronitolerans. Its description in RNAcentral is "bacterial SSU rRNA". It matches the Rfam family "Bacterial small subunit ribosomal RNA", at positions 372 to 714 of the family's 1533-position model. The record is from RNAcentral. Lineage: Bacteria; Bacillati; Bacillota; Bacilli; Caryophanales; Bacillaceae.
UGGGCGAAAGCCUGAUGGAGCAACGCCGCGUGAGUGAAGAAGGUUUUCGGAUCGUAAAACUCUGUUGUAAGGGAAGAACAAGUACAGUAGUAACUGGCUGUACCUUGACGGUACCUUAUUAGAAAGCCACGGCUAACUACGUGCCAGCAGCCGCGGUGAUACUUACGUGGCAACCGUUGUCCGGAAUUAUUGGGCGUAAAGCGCGCGCACGCGGUCCUUUAAUUCUGAUGUGAAAGCCCACGGCUCAUCCCUGGAGGGUCAUCUGAAACUGGUAGACUUGAGUGCAAAAGAGGAAAGUGCACUUCCACGUGUAACUCUGAAAUGACUGCAGGUAUGAACGAGGAACCUUA